AGAGUUUGAUCCUGGCUCAGAGUGAACGCUGGCGGCAGGCCUAACACAUGCAAGUCGAACGGCAGCACAGUGGUAGCAAUACCAUGGGUGGCGAGUGGCGGACGGGUGAGGAAUACAUCGGAAUCUACCUUUUCGUGGGGGAUAACGUAGGGAAACUUACGCUAAUACCGCAUACGACCUUAGGGUGAAAGCGGAGGACCUUCGGGCUUCGCGCGGAUAGAUGAGCCGAUGUCGGAUUAGCUAGUUGGCGGGGUAAAGGCCCACCAAGGCGACGAUCCGUAGCUGGUCUGAGAGGAUGAUCAGCCACACUGGAACUGAGACACGGUCCAGACUCCUACGGGAGGCAGCAGUGGGGAAUAUUGGACAAUGGGCGCAAGCCUGAUCCAGCCAUGCCGCGUGGGUGAAGAAGGCCUUCGGGUUGUAAAGCCCUUUUGUUGGGAAAGAAAAGCAGUCGGUUAAUACCCGAUUGUUCUGACGUACCCAAAGAAUAAGCCCC
RNAcentral lists this ribosomal RNA (496 nucleotides) under Xanthomonas campestris. RNAcentral describes it as "bacterial SSU rRNA". It matches the Rfam family "Bacterial small subunit ribosomal RNA", at positions 8 to 494 of the family's 1533-position model. The record is from RNAcentral. Lineage: Bacteria; Pseudomonadati; Pseudomonadota; Gammaproteobacteria; Lysobacterales; Lysobacteraceae.